UUUAGUGCAUUUUGGAUAUUUAUAAGCGUGGUGUAACUUAAGUGUCUAAAUUCACAUUUGGGGGGGCACUGUAACUUUCCAACAUUAUGAUAUUAAAUAAACACACUGGUGAUUGUUCAUCUCCAUUUCCCUCUCAUUCUAAAAGCGGACAGGACAUGUCGGAAGAAAAUAAAUAGUUUUCACAUGACCACUUACACUGGCUUCAUGUUUACAGACCCCCUUCGCCACUUUAGAUUGCCUCCCGGGAGAACAGACUCUCCUCCCGCUAUUUUGGGCAGUGCCUGCUAAAAGCGGCGGCGUUCCUGGAAGUGAUGACGGAUGGAAGCUUUCGCGGCGGUUCGCGGCGCCACCUUGCGUUCACCGCCUGAACUGCUGAAGGAGCGCCGUACAGCAGCUGCAAGCUAAAGAGCCUGAGGAGCAUUGUGUCAGCAGUGAACAUCUCUGGUCACGUCCAAAUUACAGAAGAGAGACAAAACAAUUGAGCAUUCAGAUGAAGAGAAGGUCAAGAAAUCCUAGACACGGCUCAGACAGGUGUGAAGUAACCCUAGAUUGAGAAUAACCUGAAAAGUAUACAAAAAACAGGGCAGUAAAAAAAAGAAAAGAAAAAGAGAAUGCAGUAAGAUAUAAAGAAAUGACUUUUACAGCAGGAGGGAAAGUUCAAAGCGCACGUGACGGAUGUGAUUCAUUAUAAGAUGUCAAAGAGAGUACAGGUGCAAGAGAUUCUGUCAGACCGCAGAAGUGCUUAUUUUAGGAGGUACUAAAAAUGAUGUUCUAUUCAAAAAACCUUAUAUUAAACACAUUCAAGGCAUUGGUGAUGCACUUCAAGCUUGAAAGCAAAUGUCCAGCAUUGGCUUUCAGUUAAAAAAGAAAAAAAAACAGAAAGAAGAAAGCUUUUAUAACAAGAUGUCAGUGAUGUUAACUUCUCAUUGCAAUCUUUCUGGUAAAAAAUUAUACUGUGAUCUAAAAUCUCCAGAUUUUAGGUCCAGAUUUCCUGCGCUUGUUUGAAGGGCUGUACAAUUUGGCCAAAAGUGUUAUAAUUACAUCAAUAUGACAAUAAAAUAUUAAUUGUACUGUUUUUUUUU
Carassius gibelio (silver crucian carp) is the source of this 1082-nucleotide long non-coding RNA. RefSeq lists it as uncharacterized. The record is from RefSeq and is a predicted model, not a curated record. The transcript has 2 exons. NCBI's taxonomy places the organism in Eukaryota, Metazoa, Chordata, Actinopteri, Cypriniformes, Cyprinidae.